CUUAACCAUCAUUUUCUUAAGUUUUGCCAAUGAUGAUUUUGUCUGCAAAAUGUAUGCUCUGUGGAUUCAAGCCCCUGUUUCAGGGAGAACCUCUUGAUGAAGCAGAUAUAAUGUGACAUCAAUUGACAAAUCUGAGACAAUAGUUUGUGCUAGUGGAUUUAAUUGAGAUUUGAGUUUUUAUUUAGCUUCCUUAGUUGCAUGAUAUGUAUAAAUUAUAUAUCGUUUUCCUAUGAUGAUCCUGUCUGCAAAAUGGAUGCCCUGUGGACUCAAGCCCCUGUUUCAGGGAGAACCUCUUGAGAAAGCAGAUGUAAAAUGACAUGAAAUGACAAAUCUGAGAUUUUCCAUAUUGUGCUUCCUAGUAUUAUGACAUCAAUCGACAAAUCUGAGGUAUUCCAUGACAUUGUGCUUCCUGCUGAAGCAAAAGGCUAUGAUGAGAAAAGUCAUGCACCACUCUGAAGAGAUUCAUCUCUUUGUGCUGAUAAACAAACUUACAACCCAUUUUACAUCUGAGCCACCUCUUGGAUACCUACUUUCGUAUUUCUUUAUUUGCUUUUCAUGCCAUAGAUGGUAGUUUUUAUAAACCAGUUUGGGGAAAUAAUGUACAUUACCAGAUGAUGAGGGUUGCCCAAGUGCAAUCCUACCAUGAUGCGGACUGAAAUUUCAUUGAGGUCAAAUACAUUUGCCGCUGAUGGUUCUUACUUUACAAUCCCGCAUAUUUUGAAUGCCAGCGCAGUUCUUGGUAACUUCUUUCGUGAACCUUGUUGCAUUGCAUGUGAAUUACUUUGUUUUCUGUUGAUAUUUAUGUCUGCAAAAUAGGUGCUUUGUAGAAGCAAAGGCUAUGAUGAGAAAAGUCAUGCACCACUCUGAAGAGAUUUAUCUCCUUGUGCUGAUAAACAAACUUACAACCCAUUUUACAUCUGAGCCGCCUUACGUGUUUGUAUUUUCUGAUUUGUCUAUUGGUUUUUGAGAAACCUAGUAUUUUAAGGUAAUAACUGUAUUGGAGGGAUAAUAACAGAACCAGAUGAUGAGGAUUGCCUAUGAGCGAUCCUACCAUGAUGCGGACUGAAUUUACAUUGAGGUCAAAUACAUUUGCCGCUGAUGGUUCUUUCCAAUCCCCCAAAUCUUGAAUGGAUUUUCCCCUUGGUUUUCCAGUGAUGAUAAUGGCUAUGAUGAGAAAAGUCAUGCACCACUCUGAAGAGAUUUAUCUCUUUGUGCUGAUAAACAAACUUACAACCCAUUUUAUUUCUGAGCCAUCUCAUGACUUUUGUAUUUUCUGAUUUGUUUAUUGGUUUUGAGAAACCGUUUUCAGCUUUUGCCUUUGUGAGAAUACUGUAGUUUUGAAACUGUAAGUCUUGGAUAUUAACUGGAUUUGGAGGAAUAAUGUAUAGAACCAGAUGAUGAGGGUUGCCUGUGAGCGAUCCUACCAUGAUGCGGACUGAAUUACAUUGAGGUCAAAACAUUUGCCGCUGAUGGUUCUUCUUCCCAAUCCUCCAUAUCUUUCAAUGGUUUUUCCUCAUUGUUAUGAAUGUACUGGGAAUUUGGUUCAAAACAAAUGGAGUGGCCUCUAGUUUGACAACCUUGUUGCAUUGUAGAGGAAUGCUCAAGUCCCUGUUUUCACUGAAUUACUUGCGGUUUUGCCAAUGAUGUUUCUGUCUGCAAAAUGGACUCUCGAGCCCCUGUUUCCAGGGAGAACCUCUCGAGAAAAUGACAUCAAUCGACAAACCUGAGGCAUUGUAAAACCAAAAAACUUUUACUGGAGCUUGUAUUUCCUAAUUAAGUGUUUCAUCUCUUCUUUUUUUGACAAUUGUACUCGCCAAUCAUGCAUCAGCUUUGCUUACAUGUGGUUUCUCAAAUGUAUUUUCUUUCUCCUGAUUGCAGAAAGCCAUUUCAUGCGCAAAGAGCUGCUGAACCUACUGGAUGAUAUGAAGCAUAUGGUGCUCUCCUUCUGGAUCAUGAUUGUAGCCUUGUACCAAUGAUACAGAGGGAACAUUGUACUGUGAUCUGUAGGCUUGCCUGGUCAUGUUGGCCAUAGUCUCUUGUAAUUCUUGUGAGAAUUAUUGACAUGCACAUAUUUUAACUACCUCCCAUUUGUUGUUGUGCCUGAAAUUUUGGGGGCAAUCAUGCCUGAAGUGUGGACGGUUAGACCAGCACUCGAUAAAAUUUGUUUUGAUGCCCUCUUCUAUGAUCAAAAUGAGCAUUGUGGUGUAAGAUCACAUUUGUUGCACAUACAUGCGAUGGUCAUCUUAGCCCUUGCCUCAAACUUUUUUUUUUUUGAACGUAUAUGGUGCUUAAAUAACAAAACAGUUGAACCCAAAAAAUUGAACUAAAAUGGUGCCUAUUUUGAACUAAAACGAACUAAUCUUUGAUAGAGCUUGGUUUUGGGUUCAACUGAUAAUGUUGGACCUGGAGCUCGCCUUGAACCCAAAACUGAGUUGUCGCCUCUUCGAAUGUAAUGUUGGACCUGGAGCCGAGCAUGGUGCUUGGGGGAAGUUUCUCAUUUUUGGCAAGAGGGGCGUUUGUAAAUCCUGAAAUUUUAUUGAAUUCGAAAAUUUAGGUGGAGCGGUAAAUAAGUUAAAUCUAAAAAACGGUUUUUAGUGAGUUAGAACAUGAUUUGGGCCGUCGUGCGGUUGUGCUUUGGUGGUCAACGAUGGACACAUGGCGCUGCAACAAUGGUUCCGAUGAUUUGCGCAUCCUAGGUGGCCCAAAAAUGUUGGCCUUUAUCUUUUUGGGGAUUGAUGAGGUCUGUGCCCAAGCUUUGAACCGACUCAUGUCAGUGCCUGCAUUGGCGGUGCCUUUGGGUGCUCUCUUUGGAGGCAUUGCGGCUCUUUGGGUAAAAAGCUAAGCUCUGGAUAGUUUUCAGAGCGGGCGACGGCGGUGUCUUCAUCGUCUCCCCUUUAGAGGCGUUGCUUGGGAGAGCUAGUUUGCUUGUUGUGCGUGGUUUCUCCUUCGUCGGGUUUGGAGGAUGUCGGGGCAGUGGCCCCGGGAGGCUGAUGUGCGUCGAGGCUAUGGCCUCGGGCAAUGAUGUGGGGAGACGACUCCAUGAGGCGGGGUAAAGACUCAACCUUCGCUUGGGUGGCAGGUUUUUCGGCUCGGUCGACGCACCCGGUUUGACUUUAUAUCCGGGCGAUGGCUCCAGAUGUGGUGGGGUAGCAGUCGUGUUUGCGGGUGGUUGCCCUGAGCGGCUUGGGUUGGGGUGGUCAGGUCGUGUGGAGUGGCAACUCGAGGGCAAGCGGCGGCAUGUCGGGGUGGUGGCCGCGGAAGACUGUGUUGGUGAACCGCGCAGGAUGUGACAGCGUGGAUGGAAGUCGGGGUAGUGGCCCCGACCCCCGAGAGUUCAGCAACAUCGAUUGUGUUGACCCCAUGUCGCGUGGCGGCGCGGUUGCUCUCAACAUUGGUCGUCGACAUGUCGAACGUCACAUUUGGCGCAGAGUCCUAUGGAGGGCUUGCAUCUUCACCGCUGCAGGGGUGUCUCGUGUCUGCUUUUUGACAGUGGUGGGAGGCCGACUAGCAUGGUGGAGUGGGUCACCGUUGGUUUGAUUGUAAUUUGUUGGCGUGUUUCUGUGAUGUUUUGUCCCGCCGUUGAUGAGAGUGGGUGUGGCCCCAUUAUGUCUGUUUUUGAGUGGGCUUUCGCCAUGUGCCGAGAGCGGGUGCGGCCAUGCGGAGUCUUUGCUCGAGUAGGUUUGGUCAUGUUUGUAUCGGUUUUCACUAGAUUUUUUGUAAUUAACCGUGCAAUAUUUUUCUUCUUAGUUAUUUAAAUGGACAAACGCCGGAUGCGCGUUGAUUUAGCAAGAACAAUAUGCUUCUCUUCAGCUGCUCAACAAUAAAUAAAAGCGACGAUCCACCAGCACAAGCGGAUGCACGAGGCUAGCUAGGGAAUGCAAUGCAUGGAAGCUUCAUCGAUCAUCCGAGUUGCGUUUUGAACCGAGUUCUCCCCGCCCCCCAACGAUUUUCCUCCUCCGCCUCUCCCCGCUUCCAGAUGGCGCCACAUCGUACGUGCCUAUGCGCGCGCCCAAGUUCCCGACGGCCGGCGACGACGGCGCUCGCAUCCCGGUCCUGCUCGCCCUCGCCGCCGCCGCCGUCGUACACCCCGGGCGCGCGCUCGCCUCCGUCCCGCUGCGGCAUCAUGCUGGCAGACCACCCCUUCUUCCCUGGCUUCGGCGUGGGCGACGAGCGCUGCAGCCGGCCGUAUGGCGGGCACUACGAGGAGUACACAUCGCAGGAUUACACUCCGUCGGCCCCUCCGCCGUCGCCGGAUCACACUUCGCCGGGCCCUCCGCCGUCGCCCGACUACGCUCCCUCGUGCCCUCCGCCGUCGCCGGAUUACUCUCCCUCGGGCCCUCCGGCGUCGCCGGAUUACGCUGCCUCGGGCCGUCCGCCGUCGCCGGAUUACGCUCCCUCGUGCCCUCCGCCGUCGCCGGAUUACGCUGCCUCGGGCCGUCCGCCGUCGCCGGAUUACGCUCCCUCGUGCCCUCCGCCGUCGCCGGAUUACACUUGGUCACCAGAGCCUGCUGCUUGGUUCGCUUCCCCGGCGACGACGCCUUCUCCGCGACCCGCGUCCCCAGACCCAGAGUACACGCCGUCAGAGCACGCUGCUGCUGCAUCACCUUACUACACUUGGUCAACUCCUCCUCCGCACGCUUCUUCUCCGGAUUACACGCCCAAUACGCCGUCUCCGCCCCCCUGGUGCUGGUGCUGCUCUCCGGCGCCGAGUCGCGCGCGCCGCCGUAUCACACACCGCCGCCUCCUUCUGGCGGCGCCGCGUCGCCGGACUACACGCCCAGCAUGCUGCCUCUGUUGCCCAUGGUGUUAAUUAGAAGCCUUGUCGCCCACGUCGGCACCGCGUCGCAGCCACCAGAGGAGAUCAAUCGCGGCGGACGUCGGCGAGCCUUGGGAUGUUGGCAUCUUGUAAACUGUAAUAGGAGAGAAACAUAUUGACAUAUUGUAUUACUCUGCAUCAAAAGAUGAAUAUAUUGGUAUAGCUUUUGUUGAAGAUGCGAGAUUGUUCUCUUCUUUUGCUUCCUGUUUUUUAUGGCCGGAGCCCUUUGUUUCUGAUGGAUGCAAAUUGUAAUUGCCUACGUGAUUUGAUGAAAGUCAUCCUGGCACUUGUCAUGUUCUGUGACUGUCAUGUCUGAGAGAAGCAUAUGGUCGCCCUGCAAAGACAAUAGGGAUGCAUAAUAAUGAUGUAGUACAAACAAAUCUGUGUGGCUUGCACAUAAAAUUUCAAGUGAACAUCUCUCAAAAAAAAAUCCAACUGGACAAAAAAUUAGAUGAACCUUUUCCGAGUAAAGCAAGCAGCAUUGCAGAAAUGUUACUCAUACAUUAAAAAUCAAAAUUAUUUUAUGUAGACCUUUAUUUGGUUGUGCACAUAGCCAACUGAAAGUUUUAACAUAGACGCACAACAUUCUUCUCGGUUUCAUCAGAAUAUUUCUUUGCUCAUAGCGAGCCCGAGAAGGAAGCUCGAUCAUGUUCUCUUGGAAAUGCAUACUUUGUUAGAUAGUUCCUUACCUACUUCUUUCAAAUAUUGCAGCAUUUGUUUGGUCUCAUUGACAAGCAUUGUGUUUCAACCAAAGCAGCCACUUUCCCGCAUACUGGUACUUUCAAGUAUUCAUCGGUGGCCUCCAGAUUGCAGAACUUUUUAUCUAAAAUUUGUCUUCACAAUAACUGCACAACGCCCUGGAAUGCAUCAUGGUAAAUGUUUCUGGAUGAGAAUCCCAACAGCAGUAUAGCACUGAUCCUUCACGCUCUGUUCAUCUUUCUUUUGAUGGCUCUAGCUGGAGCAGAAAAAAAAACAUAGACGAGGAAUUAAGGUAAAUAUUUUUUUACAGGAGAGAUCGAGGCAUGUGCAAUGUAUUUUUACAGUCAGCAGUUCCUGGGAGAGGCACAAAACAUGCUUAAUAGCCCUGAAGUAAAAUCAAAUAGGUUUUUCUUGCAACGGUCGCUAAAUUUUCAAAAUGCAAAUGCAAGCAUUUAACUAAGAGCAAUCCUAGUUUUCUGUAACAUUAUGAAGAGAGAGAGAGAGAGAUCAUAGGUUAGUUGAAAUUUUAAGAGUGAACAAAAUAGUAAGUAUCAUCGACAGAGAGAAAAUGCAGUGCAUCAACUAUCUCACAGUUAUUAAACAAACUAUUUUAUAUCUGGUUUGUGUUGCACUCCUUGGUCACGCCUUCUUGUUGCAUAAAUGCAUAAACGCUGAGAUUGGGUAUUCCCAGAGGCAAGCAGCCAAGUACUUGGCCACAAACUUGGAUACUCUGAAUAGGCCUGAAUAUGUGAUGUGUAACAAAAAAGGGGGAAACUCAUAUGACCCUCAGGCCUCAAACUUGUCAUUUUAAUUUUGAAUGUGGCAUCAUCAAACAGCAGCGAUGAGUGGUACGAAGUUUAAAGCAUACUGUAUCAAUUGUCAGCUGAAAUUCUCACAAGGCUGGUACUUUACCGGAAGCAAUUUUAUGUGCUCCCUUAAUUUCCCUUUCCCCGAGAAGGGAGACACAAUUAACAAAAUCGUCGAAACAUCAAGUGACAGCUGUUUUGCAUCAAGUUUAGCCAGAUAAGUUGCAGCCUCUGCAACUGCACAUUUUUCCAGCAACACCCUGACCGCUUGAUUUAGUAGUCUGGGACUUAUGUUUUGAUCCUGUCCCUUGAACAACAAUGGGCGGCCCACAUUUCCUGGAAUCUAGUAGCACACAAGAUCUCUCGUGUGCGAGGCUCAUGUACCAAGCAAUUUUGUUUCCCCUUGACUGCUCAAAUCUGGAAGAGUUUUAAGCUUUUUGGCUCCAGAACAAUGUCAAAAUUCAUUCCUGUUGGUGUGGAGCCUUUUCAGAACAUGGUCUAGAGCAUGAUGCGAUGCCUCGGUGUAGCCUAUGGCAUGUCUUCGCACUUCCAGUAAAUCUUUCGCACCUCUUCAUGUCUUUGCACCACUGAGAAGUGAGAACAAACAUCAGCGGCUCAGGCAAACAGCGUCUGAAACUUCACUCUUCUCUUGAUGCUGCCAGAUCUUUCAUACCCAAUGCCUAUCUUACUAUGCACCAGCUUGACAGCUAGAUCAGUAUUCCCCGCUUUCCUGAGUGCGUUGAUCAUCAUUGUUCGAACCCUGCCAGGUAUCUCACGGCCCUUUCCUACGAUGCCAUCUGCCAAUUUGCAGGCCUGCUUGAAUCUGCCGGCCCUGCACAGAGCAUUGAUCAUGUCCUCGUGUGCCGUCUCAGGAAUCACACCCAUUGGAGCCAGUUCAUCCAAUAUCCUGCAUGCUCGGCUGUAUUUGCCAGAAAGACAUAGCCCGUUGGCAAGGGCCCUGAAAGCUGCAGCUGUGGGAGUGAUCCCCUUGUCGAUCAUCGCAUCCCACAACUUCAGCGCCUCCUCAUUCUUGUGUUCCUUGAACAAACCAUCGAUCAGUAUGGUAUACGUGUAAACAGUCUGAUCACAGCCAUCAUCUUCCAUUCUCUUGUACAAGGCACAAGCAUCAUCCGUCCUUCCUGCUUUAGCUAAACCAUCAAUCAGCACGUUGUAGCAAUAUGAGUCCGGCACAAAACCUUUAACUUUCAUCUCCUCGAAGAGCUCCUGUGCUUGGUCGACCAUUCCAGCUUUCCCAAAGCCAUCAAUCAGGCUUGUAUAGAAGAUAGGGUUCACUGCAAUACCUUUCUCCACACAACUCCUGAAACAUGAAAUGGCCUCAUCCAGCCUCCCAAACCGGCACAAGCAGUUAACAAUCACUCCAUAUGUGACGGCGUCGAGCUCAAGCCCGCUACUCUUCAUCCUCUCAAAGAGUGACAUUGCCUCGGUCUCCCUUCCAAAUUUACCCAUUGAAUCAAUGAGCGCAGUGUACAUGGCUGCUUUGGCUGGGCAACCACGCUUCAGCAUUCUCUCGAACACGGCCAUCCCCUCAAACGGCUUCCCAUCCUUGCAGAGCGCGCCGAUCACCAGCACAUAUGCAUGCUGCGGAAUGUCCUUGCCAAUUCCCCUCUCUUCCAUUUCUUGGAACAAUGCCACGCACUGUGAAAACGUGCCCUCGCUGUAAUGGCACUGCAUCAGUGUAAGGUACGUUAUCUUGUCGGGCGACAGCUCCUCCUGUUCCCUCAUGUGAUCGAGCCGAGCCAUCGCAUCCUGCACCCUCCCGGCGCGGCAGUACCCCUUGAUGAGAAUGUUGUAGGAGACCACGUCAGGGCGAACCGGGUCUUCCGUGGACAUUGCGUCGAACACGUUGACGGCGGUGUCAAGGAGGCCCGCGUUGACGAGGCCGUCGAGGAGGCAGUUGUAGGUGACCCUGGACGGCUCGACGCCGGCGAGGCGCAUGCCGUUCCACGCCCACAGCAGCUCGUCGGCGAGGCCGAGGGCCGCGAGGCUACGGACCAGCGACGCGGCCGACGGCGGCGUGAGGUGCCGCAGCAGGCCGUCCCCGUCCCCGCGGGCGCGCAGCUCGGCGACGAGCCGCCCCGCGUGGCCGGCGGCGUCGGGGGUGGCCUCCCUGGCGCGCGCGAAGGAGUGGAGCAGCGAGACGUAGCAGCCGAGGAGGUGCUGCGGGUGGGCGGCGAGGUCGUCGGUGCCGCCGGGCAGGGCGCGGAAGAAGCGGAGCGACGGGAGCGGGUGGGGCAGGAGCUGCGGGGAGCGCAGCGCGGCGGCGACGAAGGCCGGGGAGAGGCGCAGGAGGAAGGUGCGGCAGAAGGCGCGCAGGUCGGCGGCGAGCGUGGCAGGCGGCGCGCGGAGGACCAGGGAGACGACGCGCGGCAGCCACGGCGACGGGGUGGGCGGCGCGGCCGAGGAGGCGGUGUACGGGCUCGGGUCGGCGAGGUCGGUGUACGGCUCGAUCCACUCCGGCGGAGGGUGGCCGCCGCCGUGGGGGCCCGACGCCCGCCGGCCGCGCGGGACGCUGCAGAACCUUCGCAUCGCUGCAGAGGUGUUGGACGAAGAGAGCGUGGAGGCGUUCUUGAGGCUAGAUUUUGCUCUUUGUCAGUUGUCACGCUUACUUUUCCCAGGGAAUUUUCGCACAUAAUCGCAGCGACAACUUUGCUGGAUUGAAAAUUUUGUAAGGGGUAAUGUUACCCAUCUGACGUUCGCUGGGAGAGGGGUGGCAAGCGAACGCCAUUUGAUAGCAGUUGUAUCUGUGAGGAGCGAUCAAACGACGGCAGUUUUAAAUCGAAAAAUGCCCUCCAUGAAGAAAAUGUCUGAAGAAUCUGUCACCAACUAAAAAUACCAUCUAAAAUGUUUGCAAAUGCCACCCUCCCUGACGAACGUUGGCCGGUUAGCAGGAUACGUCCUGAAAGCUCCAUCUUCCUACCCUGGCGAAAUCGACCUACUGCAAGAGAAUUUUCAUGCCAAGAACAUAAUGUAAGUAGAGUAUAUCCGUAGCUUCAGUGCAAUCCACAAAAAAGGCAAUGAAGCAUCAUCUGUCAUGCGUGUAUGGAAGCAUUACAGAUGGUCAUCAGGCAUUCAGGCGCGAUGAUGCAAUCGUGCAACUGCACUACAUACUUGUCUCAACUACAGGAAAGGAAAGAGCAGCACCCGAACCAAAGACGGCGGGGUCAGAUGGGCGGCGGGUCGUCCCACUGCAGGACGGCGGUGUCGAGGUUCUGCUCCCGCUUGAGCUUGUCCUUGAGGAACCAGUCGCACACCCGCCCGGCGUUGAGCUCCUCGAUCGCCACCCCCUCCUGCUCCGAGAUCACCCGCAGCAGGUUCAGCGACGAGAUCUGACCAAUCCCUCCCAAGAAUCAUUCGUAUCAACACAUGCUAACCAUGAUGUUCUUAAUAAAAUCCAGGUAAACACAUGGCUGCAAACUGCAAACAACUCACGGUGAGGCGGCAGAGGAAGCGCUCGUGGGUGCUGAGCCCGGACAUCUCCACCAGCCCGGCCUCCUCCAGGCUCAGGAACGUCCUCUUCUCCUUCUCCUGCUGCUUCUUCUCGCCGUCACCGCUCUGCUGCUUCUCUUCCUGGCACCUCGUCCUCACCGCCGUCCGCUUUGACGCCGCCGCUCCCGCCCUCGCUGCGAGCGCGGUGGUGCACGCAGUCAGUCACGGGCACGUACUUGCAGGCACGAAUUUAAGCCGGUGCAGAGCGGCGGGUGGUCGACUAACCUGGACUGCAAAGGAAAGCUCGUCGGAGCGACGGCCCGGGCAGCGGGAGCGCCGCCCGCCGCGCUGCGUGGGGUUUGCACGGCGCCACCAUGUGGUGCUGCUGCUGCUGCAUGAUAGCUCACGAGGUUCCUGGCGAGGCGAGCCGGAGGGAGUCGGAAGACGACGACGAUGGGUGUCCGGUGCGAGCAGAUAACGUUCCAUCGCCACGUCCGGAUUUCCUACCCCUCUGACCGAGAACGCUCCGGAAGAAAAGAGUAAAAUGCAUCAUAAGUCCUAAAACUAUGGACGUGUGUCAAUUCAGUCCUAUAACUUUGAAACUGCAAUUUUAGGUCCUAAAACUAUUGGAGGUGUGUCAUUUUAGUCCUAUAACUUUGAAACUGUAGUUUUAGGUCCUAAAACUAUUGAAGGUAUGUCAGUUUAGUCCCAUAACUUUGAAACUACAGGCAAUGAGUGGCAUGAUGGCUUGAGCUCCAACGAGGAGAGUAGACUGGCCACACAGGUGAUGGACGUGCAUGUUGCAACACACAUUGUGACGUCAAAGUGUAUGGACCACUUCUGGGGAAGUAAACACAUAUAAAGAGCUCAUUUGAAAAAAUGCACCAUAGAUGCUAGCCAUGCAAGCUUAGGACCUGAGAUGAACAAACUUACAUAAUUUUGGGACCCAAAACUAUAGUUACAAAGUUAUAGGACUAAGCUGACACACCUUCAAUAGUUUUAGGACCCAAAACUGCAGUUUCAAAGUUAUAGGACUAAACUAACACAUCUUCAAUAGUUUUAGGACUUAUGGUGCAUUUUACUCGGAAGAAAACAACAAAUCCUGAACCAGAAUGCUUGAUCCACAACACAAGGCUAGCAGCCAGCCAGCCAGCCGCUGGCCCUGACCCCGAGCCGUGCAACCCUCAGUUUUACCAAACGAAGCUAAGUAACGGGUGACAGACACCGUUUGCAACAACUAGUCCAAUGUGAACACCUACUUUCACGAACUCACAAAUGAAUCGUAUUUUUUUUACAGAACAAAUCGGCGAAACCAAACGCAAACAGAAAGAAAUUUGUCGGAGAGAAAAGGGGCCGGAGGGUUUGCUAUACAUCGGGUGUGCGGCGCAUCAGGGCAGCUCCAACACGAAUCACCAAACGGACGGCACCAAAUGGUUGUGAACACGUCCGGACGUGUCCAUGGACAGCGCGCGGGUCCGAUCGGCCAUCCAACCAUAGGCACGAAAUGUCCGCCUGCUCGAUCUUUUUUCCUAUGCCUGGAGUAUUGAAAAUAACCAAACAUAAAUAGCACGAUUCUUCGGUGAUUCGAAGAUAAAUAUUCCGAUGCAACAAUAAUUCAAAUGUAAAUAUUGCAAUCCAAACAUAAAGUUCGGGAAUUAUUCCAGAUUUGAAUUCAACUUAUUCGAACAUAUGUUCUACUUGUCUCCUUGCAAUGCUCACAUAUGCUCAAUUUGAUCAUUUCGAAGUUGCGCAUAAGUUCCUCGAUGGCGAAUUUGGUAAUGCAUUUGGAGAAAACUUCAAAUGUCACCGUCCCCCCCCUCCCCCCCAGUUUGGUGCCAAAUCGUGGGAUUUCGAGCGUCCAAACUUUUUCGGACAAAUUAGGUGUCCCUCGUUGGAUGGCCAAAGGUGUCCGGACACUUCGGUCUAGACAUUUGCAGGCAAUUUGGUGAUCUGCGGUUGGCGAUGCCCUUAGCGCCAAUGCAAGGUGGCAUGAUAUAUGCGUGUACACCGACGUCGACAACACUCCUGUAGUUGCUGAUUUCAACGGAGAUGCUCGUGGGUGAAAAAAUAACCCUCGGCGCCACGAUGCUCCCCUCCCCAUCCUUCUCCGCGCCAGUUCAGUUUCUCCUCGGGAUAUUCGACUCAAUGUGAAAUGUCACUAAGGGCUAAGUGUUGAAGAGAAAUAGAGAUUUAAGUAUAUCAAGUGACUUAUAUUAAUGUCGAGUUGGGUAUCUAUAUCUCCCCGACAGGCAUGUACAUACGUUGGUUACAAUGAUUCCAUCUGUUCUAAGAGGCAUGAUGCCCCUUCAACAUCAACAACCUUUGGCAAAGCUGACUUAUAAGUAGUCAGUACAUAGGAAAUCCUAACUGCUAUGUUAGCAUAAAAGUAACGCUGACUUCUAACUAUUAAUAUUUCCUAACACUUCCCUUGGACAACGAUGUUUCUUAGCUUCACUGUCUUGAGAGUGCUGGAUCGUCUUGCCUUUUUAUUGAUAGUCCUUGCUCUUGAAACUUCACGAAUCUUUGAUCUUGUACUAGUUAAGUCCUUCAAAAUCAUGUGGGAAAAGUAUAAGGAGAACUAUAGAAAUUUGAUAUACCAUUAGUGUAUAAUCAAUUGUCAUAUUAAAACCUAUAUGAGAAACCCUUUGGAAAACUCAUAAGGAAAAUAGUACAAUACUUUAUUGACGAGAUGAUAAUUAAUAAGUUAAGUUCCAGGAGAUUUCUCCCCCCGAACUUUGCAAAUUCUGUAGUCAGCUCCUGCCAAUGCCAUGAUGCAUUUUUGAAAUGUUGUUGUUGGUAAAGACUUAGUGAACAAAUCUGUAAGAUUAUCACACGAUUUUGUUUGCAAAAUAUCAAUUUCUUCAUUUUCUAAUAAUUCAUGAGGAAAUAAUAGUUUUGGAGCAACAUGUUUUGUGAUACUACUUUUAAUAUACCCCAGAUGCAUUUGAGUAACACAUGUACAACAUUAUCCUCAUAGAUAAUGGUUGGUGAUUCUAAUGAGCCGAUACGCAUGAUGUUUGAAUAUCAUUGAUUACUCCGCGAAGCCAUGCACAUUCACACGAUUCUUCAUAUAAUACAAUUAUUUUAGAGUGGUUAGUGGAAGUUGCUACUAAAGUCUGUAUUGUUGACUUCCAUGAAAUUGCAGUUUCACCAUAUAAAAAUGCAAACCCUGUUUGUGAGAUGACAUUAAUUAUGGGGAUCAAAAAGAUAACCAUCAUCAGUAUAACCAAUCGGGGCCAUUUCUUGUUUUUUCCCCUAUAGAAUAAACUAAUAACUUUAGUACCAUGCAAUAUCUGAGAUAUUCUUUACUCCUACCAAAUGUCAUUUUGUUGGACCUGCGAUAUGUCUAGCCAACAAAUUUACUGCAAAGGCAAUGUCUUUUCUAGUACAAUUUGCGAGGUACAUUAGUGCUCUUAUGGCAUUAAGGUAUACACUUAUGACAUUAUGUCUUGUGUACAUAUUUGCAAGACUUUUAGCGGCUUUUCUAGUGGUCCAUUUCUGGACUUACUUGUAUAUUUACCAAUUAUCCCGAUCACAAACAAGGGCACGUUCAUAUUUAAAUACACACAUUGCUUCUGAUAGCUGAAGCAUAAGGAACAAACAUUAUCUAAUUAGUACAUAAUGGUUCCUUGGACACUAAAAUGUCCACCUUUGUUGCCCUUAACUUUAGUAGCAGGUGCGAUAGAGUAAUACCACGGAAUAUUUUCUUUCGUACUCUAUUGACGUAUGUCGUCAUAAUAGAACUUUGACUCCUUCUGGACCUAUAUCUUGGGGAAACUCGAUACAAACAAAGUAUAAGGCAUCACCAUGAUCCUUUAUGUCGUAAAGAGAAGAUAGAAAUUUCUUGACCUGCCAAAAAAAUUCCAUCUUCGCAAGGUAGUAAACUUAAUCCCCCUCGUUUUAUAGUAUGAGUGCCCCAAUGCUCUUCUUAUUUCAGAAUUGAAUUUCUUGAGGCAACAUACCUUAUGUUAACUUCAUAUAUCUGACGAAACCUUACGGUUCAGUCAUACACUACAUUCUUAACUUAGUCAACACAAUAGCAUGUUAUAAUGAUAACCCAAGCAUCACAAUAACUCGCCAAGGAAAAUCUAUUGAGUUUCAUAUGUCAUUAGAGCUCGUUAUCACGCAAGCCUCUAAGAUGAUCAUUCACACACAUUAUCAAUCACAGGGUAAUUGUUAAGUCUCAACAUUAAGGAGACAACAUUAUGAGCAUCACAAAAACAUCAAGCAUGUAUUAUCCAUGCAAUGAGAUGAAUCAAAGAGAUGCUUAAUCCAUAUUCAUAAAUAACACAUGAAAAUAAUCAACGUUGGUCAGAAUAGCAUCAUAUGCCAUCAUAACAUUUUUUUAUUAAAUCUCUAGUCAAAACUUCUCAUCAGUUCCAUUUUGACCAGAGAGACAUAAAAUCACAUAAUUAUGAGCAAGAACUUUGGCUAAAUUAAUAGCUAACAUGAAUUAACAUAAAGUGACAACAUAAAACCAUGUUUGCCAUCAUACACAAUGAUACCUUUUGUCACUAAAGUUGAUACCGAUAAUAACAGUGAACAUAAGUGUGAAAAAUAUCAUUAAAAUUCCCAAUGACAUAAAUGAAAAGGACAUGGAAUUAACAUAAAAAUAUACAUGUCAUUGCCACUGAGUAAACACCAAAAUUGAAAUUUAUAGUGAAAAAUGACAUUAAAAUUAUCGUCAGGAUAUGAUAAGAUUUUCCAAAUAAUAAAUCUGAACAUAAAUUUACAUAAGGAUUCACAUAUAGGGAUGGCAAUGGGUAGGGUAUGGGCGGGUACAACCUCCAAACCCAUACCCAUAGAAACUUUCUAUACCCACCCACUUCAAUACCCAUGGGCAUAAAUUGAUACCCAUGCCCAUACCCAUCGGGUAUCCUGUAACCAAUGGGUAUCCAUUGGGUACCAUAUAUAGCAUUUAAAUUUUGAUUUUUUUUAGAGAAAUGAGUCUGAAAUUCAAGUGAUAUGGACGGUCAUUAUGGCACCAACAUAGUCUCCUCCGAUGGUGGCUUCUUGGAGGCAUCAAGGGAUUAUGAGCAGCGGUUGGUGGAAGCCCGACGUAGUGGGAAUGAGCAGCUGGAAUUGGGGGUCACUGGGUCGAGAGUUUAGAGGAGUCCGAUGGCGAUGAGUCAAGAUUUCAUUGUUUCAAGAAGUUAUAUAUAUAGGACGUCAGAGGAGUGUCGAGCAGGCGAUUGCAGGCCUAUGACCUAUGGCUGGUUUAGAGAAUACAAGAUUUAGGGUUGGGCCAUAGGAGUUAGAUGCUUACCCCACAUGUCAUAGGAAUAAUUUGGAUUUAUUAAUUUCUUUUGGGUAUCCAUUGGGUUACCCAUGGGCGCAAUUGAAUACCCAUGCCCUACCCAUAGAUUUUGCGGGUAUGGAUACCCAUUACCCGUGGGUACAAUAUCUUUCCAAGUCAUGCCCAUGCCCAUUGUUUUGCCCAUGGACAUAAAUAUUAAUUGCAUAAAAAUAGUCCUGUCAACUAAACAUCAAUGUGUGUGCAACUAGACUACAUUGCCGCGCCAACUAAGCAUAUGUUUGUGCAACUAGUGUCCUGCCAACUAAACAUCAAUGUGUGUGCAACUAGACUAAACUACAAGCCAACUGAGCAUAUGCCAACUAAACAUCAAUGUGUGUGCAACUAGACUAAACUACAAGCCAACUGAGCAUAUGUGUGUGCAACUAGUCUUCCUGCCAACUAAACAUCAAUGUGUGUGCAACUAGACUACAUUACAAGCCAACUAAACAUCAAUGUGUGUGCAACUAGACUACAUUACAAGUGGAGGUUGAACAUCGACUUUCUCGGGGCAAUAGACUAGUUGCACAUCAAAGUUGUCGUGGUUGCUAGGUUGCAACCUCAUACGAAUGUGCAGCUCCAAACAUUAGUUUUGGAAAAAGUUGCACGAUGUAGUACUAAAGUUGCACAAUAUAUCAUCAAAGUUGCAUAAAAAAAUUUGUUGUAACAUACCCAUAUGGGAUCUAGUUUCAAAGAUCUCGUCACGAAGAACCCAACGAUGAAGACGGAUUUGAAUUCCGACAUGUGGUUUGAAAGAUAUGACUUUUUAAAAAUUGAAGAUCCGGAAUAAAUACACGUGAAUCUGUUUUGUUGUCCAUCAGAUAUAAUAAGUUUGACUGCAUUUAAUGAUCAAUCACAUGCACUAGCAAACAAAUCCUACACAUGCAUGUGUGUGGCAGAGCGCGGCCCUCGUUUUCUCCAGAAGGUGCGCGUGCACUUCGAAGAUUUUAGGGAAAUUUUUUGGCCCAAAAUGUUUUUUUACCCACGGUUAGGCCAAGCUCAGCAGCUAAAACACUUUUUUUUUGAGAAUUAGCAGCUAAAACACUUAAAAAGAAAAAAACUGUUGGCUUGGCUAAGACAACCUGGGCCGAAGCCCAUGACCACUUUCGGUCCCUUAAGCCGCCUGCAGCCCAUCUGCUGCACCGCGCUGGUCUGAGCCGUCGAUCCAACCGGACGGCUGAGAUCGAUCCAGGCCAGAUCAAAACGGCCAGCCGAGGGACCCUACCUCAUUUCUCUCCUCUCCCCUGUUUUUCUCGGUCCCGUUCUGGAGAGGCGACAUCGACGGCGACGCGCUGCCCCCCUUCUUCCAUGGCUGCGUGGUGGCUUUGCUCACCGGAGCAACGUUCCAUGGACUUGGUCCGGCGCGCUCCUCCGUCGAGCAUGGCUGUCGGCGCCGCAUUCGUUCGGGACAGCGAGGGGAAGGAUAUCUGCUUCGUGCGGAUCCAUUAGUCGGCGACGGCGGCGAGCACAACCAGGCGGUCGAACAGGCGCGCGUCCAUGAGCACGGCGGCGGCAUUCCGCGCGUCGCUCAGGUGGGAGGCGACGGCGUCCUGGCACUCUCGCACUCGCAUAGCGGUGAGUGCCUAGCGGGCCCCGAAGGGAAAAGGCGAUGAUGUGGCGCGUUAGUGAGAUAUAUUCUUGAUCCCAAUCUGUGUGCUUUCAUGCUCAAUUGGGUGCGAAAACCUAAUUGCAAAAUUAGGGUAUCGAAUUGGGGAAACUUUUUUGAUCUAGGGUCUCGGAAAUUGGGGAUGUUCUUCUGAUUAUGUGCUCUUGAUUCCCUUUUUUCUAAUUAGCCUGACUCAGUACUGAAAACUAAUAAAUGUUUUGUACAUAAAUGUUAGCAUUAGACCUUAACUUAGAUUAAUUAAAAUUGACGAACACAGGUAGUACUUAUCAUAGCCAAUUAGAAUGAAUCUUGAAUAUCAACAGUGGGCAAUUUAGAUGAACUUAAAACAGUAGCAGCAUAUUGGCAAACAGAGUUGUAAAAAUCAAUCUUAAACAUAAUUCCCUAAACAUAAGACUGAUAUACUAAUCAUGAAUUUGGGAUCUAUUACAAUCAGGGAGGCGUCUGAUACCAUUGUUAAAAUAUUUGCAUCACUAGGAUGCGUCUUCCUGAGGAGACUCGGCGGGCACCUCACCGGCCGGCAGCUCAACCCCUUCCCCACCCACAUCCCCUCACUGCCGCCGGUAAUCGACGUCGGGCAAAGCCUGCCGGCGGCUGGCGGCGGCGGGAUCCGCUCUCUCCAGCGAAGCUCGCCACACAACUCCCCUGUUUUCCUCCCUCCACCUCCCACCACGCCGGCCAUCUCCUCCGUCUGCCCGGAUCCGCCCGUCCUCCCCACUCACCUGCCUCGGUGCUCGCCGGAUCUGGCUGAGCGCGCCCUUUGCGGCGUGUGGCUGCCUUUGGGUCGAUGCCCCCACGCGGAUCCAGAUCCAUUUGUGCCGUGACCUCCUUCGCUCGAUCUGCUCCGCCCUCCCCGGCUCCGUCUGCACCAGCUGCACGACGUGCGCUCCGGGUGGCGCCCCUUUGUUCAGUGCGUGCCCCAAAACCGUGGUGGUCAUCAGGCUGGCUCGGGGUCUUCCACCUCUGCGCCCGUGCGCCGCAUCCCUCCGCUCCGGCAAAACUACCCUUCCGCGCGUCGUGCGUCCGGCUGUUCGCGGCCUGCUGCUCUCUUGAGCCGCCACGCCACCCAGGCAGGGCUGCGCCGCCACUGGCGUGGCGCGUGUGUCGGCCGUCGCCCACACCACCCCUCCCUCUGAUCCAUGCUCAUGGGUGCUCGGUGGAUUGUCGCGGUUCCCCUGACUCGGGCGGGCCAUGCGGCUCCGGCGCCCUCGACCUGGUCGCCUCCGCUGCCGGGCUUUGCAGCUGCGUUUGGUUUGUGCCCGUGUCAGCGGCGUCUAGCAUGGAGGACUGCUGCCCCUCGCCGCAGUUCCCUCUGACCUUCGGCUCUCUGUCUCCGGGAGAAAUCCCUUCGCUGGUUCCUUGCCAGCGGCAGCAACGGCGAUGCCUUCCCGGCGCCGCUUCAUCUUCUUGGAGGCGCCGCUGUGGAGUUAAGUGUAGCUAUGGUUUUGGACGAAAGUCCUGCGAUGAUGGCGCCUGUGGGCGUCAUUCAACCUUCCUGAAGGUGUCGCAAAAACACAUGCUUCAAUCCACUCACCUACGCCCGCCCAUUCCAUCAUCGACUUUGUCCCUCCGUCGCCACUCACCGCCAUCCAUCCAUCCGUCUGGUGUGUUGUCCAUGUUGUGCUUGCUCAGGUCCCUUCCAUGCCUGUUGUUGUCUUGCGGCAGGUUGGGGUCAACAGUGGUUUGUGUUGUUGCUGCCCUACUUCCUAUGUGUUCGUCUUCGGUGUUGUUCCCCGGUGUCGGCCAUAUUGCUGUGCAUGUUCAAGCCCCUCCCAUGGUGGCCGUUGUGUUGCGGUGAGCUUAGUGCUCUUGGUGUUGUCCCGGUUCAUCUUUGCUCUUCGACGACGCAAGAUGCCUCCACAGCUUGCUAAUCAUCCCGAAUUCCCGUGGCGGAGCUCCAAGUCAAGGUUCGUGUUGUCACUCGUUCGUUGUGGAUACUCCUGAGUAGUGUCGUGAGGUUCGGUAUGCACGCCGGUGUGGUGCGCUAGGUCGCUUGCUUAGUCCUGGUAUUGUGAUCCUUCGAUGACACCCCUCUUCUACUUGUGCCUCCCUGGUGUUGGUCCUUUGGUCUGCUAGCUAGGUCAUCCCUUGUCUGUGGCAUCCAUUUUUCUUCUUUUCUUCAGUCAUUGAUGUGCGGCAUUUUUUCUCUCUCUUCUUCUGUAACCUUGUUGAUUGUACGGUUUUUGGCCCGGUUUCCCUUAUAAACGGGGUCAAUUUGUUUAGGUUUUCGAUCCUGUUUCCCUUAUAAACUGGAUCAUCCAAAGUUAAGAGGUGACUCUUGGCUUUGGUAGCUUUUUGAGCAAUAUAUUCAGGUGGGGACCUCCCUCCCGGUGACCGUUCAAAAAAAAGGAUGCCAUGCACAUUAAUAGGUUGCAUCUAGACCUCUUAAUUGUCAUGAAUAGAGAGAGAUUAGGGAUUCAUUACUUGUCAUAGAAGUUGACAUGAUCUCCUGCUUGUUGCAGGAGAAAUGGAAGGAUGAUGUAGUCUAAGUAGACGAUCUCCUUGAUGUCCUGAUUUCUUCGGGCCGCCACCGGCACUGUUCUGUGACGGCGGCAUGAUGACUAAGUCUUCUCACCGUUGCAGCAGCUCCCCCAUAUCGGAUUAGGAUAGAUUCAUGAGGGCUAGUGAACUAUAUGUAAAACCUGCCCUAAGCCCCCCUUUCCUUUACAUUUGAGCAGUUGUACGGGAAGGGACCUAAACCCUCAGUUGGUUUUUGGGCACCCCCAAUAAGGGUGCUAUCGUUGGGUCCAGAGCGUUGGUUCAUGGGCCUCCCCCCCUUUUUUUUUCUCUCGUACGGUUAUUUGACUAUUUUUUUCUUUUAACCGACAUAUCAAUUCAAUAGCUACUACUUUGCAAGCUACUGGAGAAGGCGCUGAAGGGUGCAUGCCACCUCCAUGUGCUCCGCAGGUUUGCCAAUGACGCGGUUGAUACGUCUCCAUCGUAUCUACUUUUCCAAACACUUUUGCCCUUGUUUUGGACUCUAACUUGCAUGAUUUGAAUGGAACUAACCCGGACUGACGCUGUUUUCAGCAGACUUUCCAUGGUGUUAUUUAUGUGCAGAAACAAAAGUUCUCGGAAUGACCUGAAACUCCACGGAACAUCUAUUUGGAAAAUAAGAAAAAUACUGGAAGAAAAAUCCACGUCAGGGGGCCCACACCCUGUCCACGAGGGUGGGGGGCGCGCCUGCCGCCCCUGGGCGCGCCCCCUACCUCGUGGGCCCCCUGGCUCUCCACCGACCUCAACUCCAACUCCAUAUAUUCACUUUCGGGGAGAAAAAAAUCAGGGAGAAGGAUUCAUCGCGUUUUACGAUACGGAGCCGCCGCCAAGCCCUAAAACCUCUCGGGAGGGCUGAUCUGGAGUCCGUUCGGGGCUCCGGAGAGGGGGAUUCAUCGCCGUCGUCAUCAUCAACCAUCCUCCAUCACCAAUUUCAUGAUACUCACCGCCGUGUGUGAGUAAUUCCAUCGUAGGCUUGCUGGACGGUGAUGGAUUGGAUGAGAUCUAUCAUGUAAUCGAGUUAGUUUUGUUAGGGUUUGAUCCCUAGUAUCCACUAUGUUCUGAGAUUGAUGUUGCUAUGACUUUGCUAUGCUUAAUGCUUGUCACUAGGGCCCGAGUGUCACUGGACUAUGCUUAAUGCUUUUCAUGAAUAUAUGUGAGUUCUUGAUCCUAUCUUGCAAGUCUAUAGUCACCUACUAUGUGUUAUGAUCCGGCAACCCCGAAGUGACAAUAAUCGGGACCACUCCCAGUGAUGAGCAUAGUUUGAGGAGUUCAUGUAUUCACUAUGUGCUAAUGCUUUGUUCUGGUACUCUAUUAAAAUGAGGCCUUAAUAUCCCUUAGUUUCCAUUAGGACCCCGCUGCCACGGGAGGGUAGGACAAAAGAUGUCAUGCAAGUUCUUUUCCAUAAGCACGUAUGACUAUAUUCGGAAUACAUGCCUACAUUACAUUGAUGAAUUGGAGUUAGUUCUGUGUCACCCUAUGUUAUGAUUGUUACAUGAUGAACCGCAUCUGGCAUAAUUCUCCAUCACCGAUCCAAUGCCUACGAGCUUUUCACAUAUUGUUCUUCGCUUAUUUACUUUUCCAUUGCUACUAUUACAAUCACUACAAAACCCAAAAAUAUUACUUUUGCAACCGUUACCGUUACUUCCAUACUACUUUGCUACUAAAUACUUUGCUGCAGAUAUUAAGUUAUCCAUGUGUGGUUGAAUUGACAACUCAACUGCUAAUACUUGAGAAUAUUCUUUGGCUCCCCUUGUGUCGAAUCAAUAAAUUUGGGUUGAAUACUCUACCCUCGAAAACUGUUGCGAUCCCCUAUACUUGUGGGUUAUCAAGACUAUUUUCUGGCGCCGUUGCCGGGGAGCAUAGCUCUAUUCUUUGAGUCACUUGGGAUUUAUAUCUGCUGGUCACUAUGAAGAACUUGAAAGACGCUAAGACAACAAUUUAUCCCUCAACUACGAGGGGAGGUAAGGAACUGCCAUCUAGCUCUGCACUUGAUUCACCUUCUGUUUUGAGUAAGCUUGCGACACCUAAACCUGCUUCUGCUAUUCAUUCUGAUAUGUCACAUGUUAUUGAUGAUACCACUUCUGCUAUGCAUAAUACUUAUGAUGAAACUACUUCUAUGCUUGAUACUACUGUGCCACUUGGUGAAUUUCUUGAUGAACAGCUUGCUAGGGUUAGAGAGAAUGAAAUUAUUGAUAAUAUUGAUGAAAGUGAUGAUGAAGACUCUCGACCUAAUAAAUAUGAAUUGCCUGUUGUGCCUGAGGGCUAUGUUAUGGAUGAAGCAAUUGCUAAAGAAAUUUUUGCUUGCAAAGAUAGAUAUGAUGUUAAGAAAUUAUUAGCUAAAUGGAAGCAGCAAUCUCUUAAUGCUAGAAUGAAACCUGACCCUGCUUUUGCUACUUCACCUAUCUGUGUUACUGAUAAGGAUUAUGAAUUCUCUGUUGAUCCUGAUAUAGUUACUUUGGUUGAAUUCGAUCCUUUUCAUGGCUAUGAAUCUGAAACUGUUGUGGCACAUCUUACUAAAUUAAAUGAUAUAGCCACCCUGUUCACUAAUGAUGAGAAUUCUCGCUACCUUUAUAUCCUCAAAAUAUUUUCGUUCUCAUUAAAGGGUGAUGCUAAGAUAUGGUUCAGUUCUCUUGAUCCUGGUUGUGUCCGUAGUCCCCAGGAUAUGAUUUAUUACUUCUCCGCUAAAUAUUUCCCCGCUCAUAAGAAACAAGCUGCUUUAAGGGAUAUAUACAACUUUCUGCAAAUUGAAGAAGAGAGUCUCCCACAAGCUUGGGGGAGGCUUCUCCAGUUACUUAAUGCUUUGCCUGAUCAUCCUCUCAAGAAAAAUGAAAUACUUGAUAUCUUUUAUAAUGGACUAACUGAUGCUUCCAGAGAUUACCUGGAUAGUUGUGCUGGUUCUGUUUUCAGGGAAAGAACAUCGGAUGAAGCUGAAAUUCUAUUGAAUAAUAUGUUGACAAAUGAAAAUAAUUGGACACUUCCUGAGCCAGCUCCUGAGACAAUUCCUAAACCAACUCCAAAGAAGAGAGGUGUUCUAUUUCUCAGUCCUGAAGAUAUGCAAGAGGCAAAGAAAUCCAUGAAAGAAAAGGGUAUAAAAGCUGAAGAUGUUAAGAAUUUACCUCCUAUUGAAGAAAUACAUGGUCUUAAUUUACCGCCUGUUGAAGAAACAUAUGAUCUUAAUCCAUCACCUAUUGAAGAAGCUCAUGGUCUUGAUAACCCGACACAGGUAGUAAAGGUAAAUUCUCUCUAUAGAUUUGAUAAAGCUCAAAUCCCUCCUACUAAAAUUGCUAGCCAAUGCUUGGAUGAGUUUGAUAAUUUUAUGGUUAAGCAAGAAGAUUUCAAUGCUUAUUUUGGUAGACAAUUAAAACAAAAUGCUUAUAUGAUUGAACACUUGGGUGAUUACAUGUCUAGAGUUAAAGGUGAACUUUAACUCAUUAGUAAACAUGCUUCUAUGGUUACUACUCAAGUAGAACAAGUACUUAAGGCUCAAAAUGAUUUGCUCAAUGAAUUGAAUAGUAAGAAUAAUGAUUAUUCUGUUAGAAUGGCUACUAGAACUGGUAGAAUGACUUAGGAACCUUUGUAUCCUGAAGGCCACCCUAAGAAAAUUGAGCAAGAUUCUCAGAGAAAUAAUAUUGAUGCACCUAGUCCUUCUAAAAAGAAGAAAAAGAAAAAUGAUAGGACUUUGCAUGCUUCUAGUGAACCUAUUGCAGAACCACCUGAGAAUCCAAAUGAUAUAUCUAUUUCCGAUGUUGAAACACAAUCUGGUAAUGAACAUGAAACUAAUGAAAAUGCUAAUGAUGAUGUUCAUGAUGAUGCUCAACCUAGUAAUGAUAAUGAUGUGGAAAUUGAACCUGCUGUUGAUCUUGAUAACCCACAAUCAAAGAAUCAAUGUUAUGAUAAGAGAGACUUUGUUGCUAGGAAACAUGGUAAAGAAAGAGAACCAUGGGUUCAGAAACCCAUGCCUUUUCCUCCCAAACCAUCCAAGAAAAAGGAUGAUCAGGAUUUUGAGCGCUUUGCUGAAAUGAUUAGACCUAUCUUUUUGCGUAUGCGAUUAACUGAUAUGCUCAAAAUGAAUCCUUAUGCUAAGUACAUGAAAGAUAUUGUUACUAAUAAAAGAAAGAUACCGGAAGUUGAAAUUUCCACCAUGCUUGCUAAUUACACUUUCAAGGGUGGAAUACCAAAGAAACUUGGAGAUCCAGGAGUACCUACUAUACCAUGCUCCAUUAAAAGAAACUAUGUUAAAACUGCUUUAUGUGAUCUUGGAGCCGGUGUUAGUGUUAUGCCUCUCUCUUUAUAUCAUAGACUUGAUUUGAAUAAGUUGACACCUACUGAAAUAUCUUUGCAAAUGGCUGAUAAAUCAACUGCUAUACCUGUCGGUAUUUGUGAGGAUGUGCCUGUUGUGGUUGCAAACAUUACUAUUUUAACGGACUUUGUUAUUCUUGAUAUUCCCGAGGACGAUAGUAUGUCUAUUAUUCUGGGAACACCCUUUUUGAAUACUGCAGGGGCUGUUAUUGAUUGCAACAAAGGCAAUGUCACUUUUCAUGUUAAUGGUAAUGAGCAUACGGUACACUUUCCGAGGAAACAACCUCCAGUUCAUAGUAUCAACUCUAUUGGAAAAAUUCCAUCGAUUAUAUUUGGAGGUUUUGAAUUUCCUCUACCUACUGUCAAGAAGAAAUAUGAUAUUCUUAUUAUAGGGGAUGUGCAUAUCCCCGUUGAGGUAACAUAGUGUUAUUCGAAAUUUCUCCGGUUCCAUGUUAUUCGGAAUGAGUUUGUUAACAAGACUUGAUCAACCUUGUUAGUGGAUUCCUUUUGAUGAGCAUGAGAUGGAUGAAACUAGAAGGCACAACCUUCUGUACCCUCCUUCUACUUUCUGUUAUUUAGUUGAAAUAAAGUAAAAAUAGUAUUUUUCUGUCUGUUUUCUGAUUUAUCCGUGCAAUAUAAAAAUACCCUGAAAAUAAAAGUUCUCCAAUUGCCCCAAAAUUAAAAUAUGAUUUUUUCUGGAAUAUUUGAGAAUAUUUGGCACUGAGAACACAACAGGAGGGGCAAGCACCUGGCCACGAGGGUGGAGGGCGCGCCCCCUGCCUCGUGGGCCCACGGUGGCCCCCUCCACUUAUUCCUGCACCCACACACUUCUUCUUCCUCCCAAAAAAAUCACCAUCCAGCUCAAGCAUGAGUUCUAGCUCAUUUUGCUGCGAUUUUCGAUCUCCUUGCUCAAAGCACCUCUCACAAAACUGCUUGGGGGGAUUGUUUCUUGGUAUGUGACUCCUCCAUUGGUCCAAUUAGUUUUUGUUCUAGUGCUCUAUUCAUUGCAAAUUUGUGCUGCCUAGGUGACCAUGUUCUUGAGCUUGCAUGUCAAAUUUAUAUGGUUCCAAGUAGUUCUAAUGCAUGAUAUAGUCUCUAGGCACUUGUAGGAGUAGUUGCUAUCAAUAUUGUUGAGCUUGGUUCACCUUUAUUUUGAAGUUACUAAAAAUUUCAGAAAUUUUUCAGAAGAAUAAAUAUGCUUAGGAAAAUGUUCCAAGGUGGUUCUUCAAGGAAGCAAGGACCCAGGCUUGCAAUGCGUGAUGCUGACGAUGAGUCACCGAGGGACGCUCCAGUGCGACCUUGUGAAUGGCCUUCAGAAAAUUUUAUGGAUCGAGCGGGAAUCAAGGAAGAAUUUAACGCAUAUUUGCGUAAUGCUGAUCUUGUGAGCUUUGAGGCAGAAAAAUGCCGCCAAUACCACUAUCUCACUAGUUCCUUUGUGAGGAGGUUUGAAUUUUCAGCUUCACGUAAUUCUCCAACUGUCCUGUUUGAUCUUUAUGAAAAAUCUUAUACGAUGGACUUAGAGGAUUUUACUUCUGCUUGCAAACUUCCAUAAUGGGGUAGUGCUAGUGAACCCCGCAAAUCUGAAUUUAGAAAUUUUCUUGCUAGUAUAACUGUGGGGGAAUCUAGAGAUAUAGCACAAGCUACUAUAGGGAGCAUUCAUUUUCCUGCUAUACAUUAUUUUGCUCUCUUCAUAGGUAGGUGCAUAAAUGGUAAAGAUGAAGCAUGUCAUAUGUGUGUUCCUGACCUCAGUAUUCUUAGGAGUGCUGUGUUAGGAGACAAAUCUUAUAAUUUGGGAGCCAUUGUUGCACGUAGGUUGCAUAAUAAUAGAUUUAAUGGAGAUUUCUUUGGUGGAAUUUAUGCAACCCGCUUAGCUGAUUUUCUUGGUGUAACCAUACGUAAUGAUGAUAUUGAAUUGCCUCCUGCUUACUUAGACUUUAAUGCUGUUCACCACCAGUUUGUUGAGAGGAAUGAAUCACCUCUCCAGUAUCGCUUAAUCUUUGACAGACGUCGUGCUGUCCGUAUUACUCUCCCUGCUCCCGCCUUUUUUGAUUAUCAGGCAAAAGGAAGAUAUGUUAUUACCAGAGAGGAGGCAGAUGAGUACGAGAGGAGGGCAGAAGCCGCUCGCCGCCACGCUGCAGCUCAGGAGGCGAUAGCCGCUGCAUCUCAGUACGACCCCGGCUAUAACUACAGAUAUCCGCCAGGCCACCCGUGGCAAUAAACCAACUUAGGCCAAAAGCCUAAGCUUGGGGGAGUACGUAUUUCCCACCGACAUUACAUUUAUGUCCACACACUCAUUGCUAGAUGUCGGUGCUCAUACUCUUUCACUGUAAUAUCCAUGCUAGUUUAUUUUCCUUUUCUUGCUCUCUUCUUGUGUGUUUGAUAAACUUUAAGAAAAACCAAAAAAAAA
This 25887-nucleotide long non-coding RNA is filed under the name Triticum aestivum (bread wheat). RNAcentral's name for it is "long non-coding RNA (TAES_LNC024803)". The stretch from base 1162 to 1253 matches the Rfam family "Small nucleolar RNA Z221/R21b". Lineage: Eukaryota; Viridiplantae; Streptophyta; Magnoliopsida; Poales; Poaceae. The record is from RNAcentral.